AGUGAACGCUGGCGGUAGGCCUAACACAUGCAAGUCGAACGGCAGCACAGUAAGAGCUUGCUCUUACGGUUGGCGAGUGGCGGACGGGUGAGGAAUACAUCGGAAUCUACUUUUUCGUGGGGGAUAACGUAGGGAAACUUACGCUAAUACCGCAUACGACCUACGGGUGAAAGCAGGGGAUCUUCGGACCUUGCGCGAUUGAAUGAGCCGAUGUCGGAUUAGCUAGUUGGCGGGGUAAAGGCCCACCAAGGCGACGAUCCGUAGCUGGUCUGAGAGGAUGAUCAGCCACACUGGAACUGAGACACGGUCCAGACUCCUACGGGAGGCAGCAGUGGGGAAUAUUGGACAAUGGGCGCAAGCCUGAUCCAGCCAUACCGCGUGGGUGAAGAAGGCCUUCGGGUUGUAAAGCCCUUUUGUUGGGAAAGAACAGCAGCAGGUUAAUACCCGGCUGUUCUGACGGUACCCAAAGAAUAAGCACCGGCUAACUUCGUG
Molecule: ribosomal RNA, 492 nt
Filed under: uncultured bacterium
Lineage: Bacteria
Description: partial 16S ribosomal RNA
Rfam family: Bacterial small subunit ribosomal RNA
Source: RNAcentral